Molecule: long non-coding RNA, 807 nt
Organism: Pistacia vera
Lineage: Eukaryota; Viridiplantae; Streptophyta; Magnoliopsida; Sapindales; Anacardiaceae
Exons: 3
Source: RefSeq, a predicted model, not a curated record
CUAAAGUUGGCCAGUACAAAUUCUCCACUAGUCUUUCUUUUAUUUACGUUUUUCUGUUCAAAAAAUAACUUCACUGUCAGGUCAUUUUCUUCUCAAGCUCUUCGUCUGCUUCAUCUACAUUCAUCUCUCAGGUCUCCUGAACACGAUGGCUAAUUUUGCUAUUCUGGCAACGUAUAAAGAACAGAAGCUAUCCUAUACCCUAGGGCUGUGUUUGCUUCACAAUAAUAAACAUGGGAAUAGGAAUCUUAUUCCCUAUCCCAUGUUUGGUUUAACUAUUUGCAUUCCAGAAUCAAACAUGCAUGAGAAUAUGGAAAGCACAAUGAUAAAAUAAAGUACUGGGCUAGUAUCAUUUUUUGUCUUGAUACGGUUUGGAUUGUGACCGGUGGUGGGUAGCCGUAGCUUUUCAUGAAACUGAUUGGACUGACAGAAGAUAUCCCACCCACCAAACAAAAUGCUCCUUUUCUCCCUGUGUUCCUAUAUAUAGCUAGCGGUUGUUCCCAAAGAACAUGGAAUUAUCUAAUCCUGACAACUUCAAAUGCAACGAGAGAUUAAAUUAAGGAAGGUGGUGGGGCUGGAGUGGAUGUGGAGCCCAUAGGUCAAUAUUUCUUUUAUUGUUCUUCUGUAAAGUAAAAGGACACGUAGGUAAUUUUCUUAAACUAUUGUGUUUCUCUUUAAUCUUUUAUGGAAAAUGAUAGAGUCAUGAAGGUUGCGUACCGAAUUUAUGUACCGAAUGACGUAGUGAAAUCUUAACCGUUGAUUAAUAUUAACUGAUAAUGAAUUAAUGGUCAGAAUUUUAUCACGUUAUUU